AGAAAGAAGUAAAAUGA
This 17-nucleotide microRNA is filed under the name Corchorus capsularis. RNAcentral's name for it is "sRNA CCACVL1_03118". Lineage: Eukaryota; Viridiplantae; Streptophyta; Magnoliopsida; Malvales; Malvaceae. The record is from RNAcentral.